RNAcentral lists this non-coding RNA (94 nucleotides) under Sphingobacteriales bacterium. RNAcentral's name for it is "TPP sequence". It matches the Rfam family "TPP riboswitch aptamer (THI element)". From Rfam's summary of the family: Vitamin B(1) in its active form thiamin pyrophosphate (TPP) is an essential coenzyme that is synthesised by coupling of pyrimidine and thiazole moieties in bacteria. The previously detected thiamin-regulatory element, thi box was extended, resulting in a new, highly conserved RNA secondary structure, the THI element, which is widely distributed in eubacteria and also occurs in some archaea. Lineage: Bacteria; Pseudomonadati; Bacteroidota; Sphingobacteriia; Sphingobacteriales. The record is from RNAcentral.
UUCUCUUUUUUGGGGUGUUUCUUCGGAAUCUGAGAAUAUACCCAAUGAACCUGAUCCGGGCAAUGCCGGCGAAGGGAAAAAAGAGAAUGAUGGG